GGGCCCGCACAAGCGGUGGAGCAUGUGGUUUAAUUCGAUGAUACGCGAGGAACCUUACCAGGGCUUAAAUGUAGUCUGACAGCUUUAGAGAUAGAGUUUUCUUCGGACAGAUUACAAGGUGCUGCAUGGUUGUCGUCAGCUCGUGCCGUGAGGUGUCAGGUUAAGUCCUAUAACGAGCGCAACCCCUGUCGUUAGUUGCCAGCAUGUCAUGAUGGGGACUCUAACGAGACUGCCGGUGCAAACCGUGAGGAAGGUGGGGAUGACGUCAAAUCAUCACGGCCCUUACGUCCUGGGCCACACACGUGCUACAAUGGCCAGUACAGAGAGCAGCCAAUGCGCAAGCAUGAAGGCGGAAUCGCUAGUAAUCGCGGAUCAGCAUGCCGCGGUGAAUACGUUCCCAG
This 401-nucleotide ribosomal RNA is filed under the name uncultured bacterium. Its description in RNAcentral is "bacterial SSU rRNA". It matches the Rfam family "Bacterial small subunit ribosomal RNA", at positions 917 to 1377 of the family's 1533-position model. The record is from RNAcentral.